Molecule: ribosomal RNA, 445 nt
Filed under: uncultured bacterium
Lineage: Bacteria
Description: partial 16S ribosomal RNA
Rfam family: Bacterial small subunit ribosomal RNA
Source: RNAcentral
GUGAGGAAUAUUGGUCAAUGGGCGAGAGCCUGAACCAGCCAAGUAGCGUGCAGGAUGACGGCCCUAUGGGUUGUAAACUGCUUUUGUACGGGGAUAAAGGAGCUUACGUGUAAGUUUUUGCAGGUACCGUACGAAUAAGGACCGGCUAAUUCCGUGCCAGCAGCCGCGGUAAUACGGAAGGUCCGGGCGUUAUCCGGAUUUAUUGGGUUUAAAGGGAGCGCAGGCUGUCGGUUAAGCGUGUUGUGAAAUGUAGGUGCCCAACACCUGCACUGCAGCGCGAACUGGCUGACUUGAGUACGCACGACGUUGGCGGAAUUUGCCGUGUAGCGGUGAAAUGCUUAGAUAUGGCGAAGAACUCCGAUUGCGAAGGCAGCUGACGGGAGCGCAACUGACGCUCAUGCUCGAAAGUGCGGGUAUCGAACAGGAUUAGAAACCCGUGUAGUCC